UUUAAACUAUUCAAUAAAUAUGGUCGUAUUUUCAUUCCAAAAUGAAAGAUACAUUUUAAUAAAAUUGAAGUUAAAGAAGAAAGAAAUGAAAAAGAAAGAAGUUCGAAGGGAUGAGAAGAAAAGACAGAUGGUAAUAUGACUGUCCUCUAAAGGAAAUGGUUUCUGUUGCUAGGUUUUCCACUUAGCUAAAGUCAUCAGCUGUUUGAUGAAUAGACAAUAGUUUGGAUUAAAAAAUAUUUAAAAUCCUUUUUUGGUUCCAAUUCAAGAUUUAAACAUGAAUGCCAUUAGAAAUGAAUAGGGGCAAAUCAAGAGUUCUAGGGCACUGGAAGCAUGUCAGGAGAAAAGACCUCUGUUUCCUCCUUAUUACAAGAUGCUCUCUGAACAGGCCGUCCUCAUUCUAAAGAUCUGUGAGUCUGAUUUUAUUAAUAUCAUUGAAGUAACUUUCCCUUUCAUUUCUCCUAAACUAUCCCUCGAGCAAAUGAAAAAGCAAAUGAAUUGCAAGGUUAUUUUUCUUAAAAUAGGACCAUCGUCUUUUGAAAUACACAGGAUUUUAAUUUUAAAAUACUUUGUGCAUUAUAUUUUCCCCAUGAUUGCCUUCAAAUAGUGGGUACUUUUUCUCAUAAGCAUUAUUGGGAACCGUGUGGCUACGAGAUCAAAGAAAUAAUAUCCUAGAAAUAAUAUGGUCACAUUUACAUAGAAAUAAUAAUGCUGGAGUUGUUUUCUUUUCUUUUCUUUUCUUUUUUUUUUUUUUGAGACAAAAUCUAACUCUGUCAUCACCUAGGCUGGAGUGCAAUGAUGCUACCCCAGCUCACUGCAACCUCCACCUCCUGGAUUUAAGUGAUUUUUUCUGCCUCAGCCUCCUGAGUAGCUGGGAUUACAGGUGCCUGCCACCACACCCAGCUAAUUUUUGUAUUUUUAGUAGAGAGGGGUUUCACCACGUUGGCCAGGCUGGUCUCGAACUCCUGCCCUCAAGUGAUCCGCCCGCCACAGCCUCCCAAAGUGCUAGGAUUAUAGGCAUGAGCCACCGCGCCAGACCCCAAAUUUUAUUUUUUAUUCAUAUAUUCUCCACUGUCUCAGCUGGCAUUAAUGAAUCUUAAGUUUGCUUUUAUUGUAUCAUAAUUUUGAAAGUGCCUAGUAAGGAGGGGUUAUUAGUGUCCAGAUGUAUUUCAGAAGCAGCAAACUAAUCAUCUUUGAAUAGUGAUAGAUAUUUUUUCAGGUAGAAAAAUUUUAUAGGUAAUGCCAAUAGGUACAAAUAUAGGCGCUAAUGAUUUCUUUUAAUAUUUCUGGAAAGGAAUUAGAUUAUAUAUCUGUGAUAGAAUAUAAUACUAAGUAUUAGAUUGUAGAAGGCUUUGUUUCAAGGUGGUUAUUCAUUCAUGUUACUACCUUCUUCAAUCAUAACUCAGUAAGACCUCAAAGAUCUAAAUCUUUGGGCUUUGUAAAUCCUGAAUUACUUAGGUCUCUGCUACUGAAAAGUGAACAUCAAAAGUUGUCUAUUUAAGAAAAAAAGUAGUUUUUAUAAUCUGAGUUGUAUACUGGACCCAUAGAGAUCAUUUUAAAUGUAGCAAUGAAUAGAGAUUGGAUAAAAACAGUGUUAAAAAUUCUUUUCUAAUUCAAGUUCAAAUUUUAAAAAUUUUAAAGGCACGUUUUAGUGUAUAAAUAAUUGAAAAGUUGUUGACAGUUGUUUGUUUUGCAGUCAGCAAGUGGCAAGGAUCUUUGCAGAGACAACAGGAAAAUAAAGGCCGUAACAUGCGUAUAUACACAAUGAAAUAUGGAUGUGAGCUUAGAGGCUACACACGGUCUCUGGGAUACUCGAACUAUCUUUCUUGCCGUGGACCAGCUAACAUGCCUUGGUUGCGCCAGUGUACUGACCCCUGUGGACAUUACCUCAUUAAAUAUUCAAUAAAUGUUAUUUUUUUCCUACUGCCUUUCUGUCUUCUAUAUGAGAAUAUGUAAGUAUUCGCUGAAGGCUUUUCUUUUGCUUUUGUGAAUACCUUCACACCAUGUUGUAUUCUGUCUUGGUUAGUUAAAAAAAAAAAAAAAGUUGGCCAGGUGCAGUGGCUCACAGCUGUAAUCCCAGAACUUUGGGAGGCCAAGGCAGGGAGAUCACCUGAGGUUGCGAGAUCAAGAGCAACCUGACCAACAUGGAGAAAGCCAUCUCUACUAAAAAUACAAAAUUAGCCAGUCAUGGUGGCACGCACCUAUGAUCCCACCUACUCGGGAGGCUAAGGCAAGAGAAUUGCUUGAACCCAUGAGGCGGAGGUUGCAGUGAGCCGAGAUUGCGCCACUGUACUCCAGCCUGGGUGACUGAGCGAGACUCUGUCUCAAAAAAAAAAAAUAAAUAAAUAAAAGGUUAAUUAUAUUUCUUGUUAUGAGACAAAUGAACUAUUUCACACUUUCCAUUGAGGAUAGCAUGUAACGCAGGUUUUUCUCUUACAGGUUGUGGGACUGGAAAGUAUCUUAAAGUGAACAGCCAGGUACAUACCGUGGGCUGUGACUACUGUGGGCCACUGGUAGAGAUUGCCCGGAAUAGAGGAUGUGAAGCCUUGUCAUACAUCAUUUUUCUACAAAACAAAGAAGAAUCAGAGCAAUAAAAGAAAUGGCCAGGGUCUUAGUUCCUGGAGGCCAGCUGAUGAUAUAUGUUUGGGCAAUGGAACAAAAGAACCGUCGCUUUGAGAAGCAAGACGUGCUUGUUCCAUGGAACAGGGCCCUGUGUUCCCAGCUCUUCUCAGAGUCCAGCCAGUCUGGGAGGAAGAGGCAGUGUGGACACCCAGA
Molecule: small RNA, 2772 nt
Filed under: Pongo abelii (Sumatran orangutan)
Lineage: Eukaryota; Metazoa; Chordata; Mammalia; Primates; Hominidae
Description: retained intron
Source: RNAcentral